AGAAGGAGACGUCAUGACAAUGAAAUCAUUGCUGGUUUCUUUCGGUAGGAAGGCUGGUUUAAGACGUUCUGUGGUGAUAUUAACAAUUUUUCCUGAAACAUCGAUUGCAAAUAAAUUAUCAUUAAUUCUAUUAACAACGCGAAAAGGACCAGAAUAAGGAGGUUAAAGAGAUUUUCUAACUGCAUCUUCACGAAGCCAAACGAUCAGAUGGAAGAUCCUCUUCAAUGAAAAACUCUCCAGGAAUUCUUAAUGCAGAUCCAUAAAGCAUUUCCGCAGGAGAUGCAUUCAAAUCUUCUUUAAAGCAACUACGAAGUCCAAGAUGCCAUUGGAAGCCGGAUGAUAAGCUGAGGUUCUAAUUUCCUCGCAACCAAUUAGGUUGGUGAGAGCCUUAAAUAAUGCAGCUUCAAAUUGAGGACCUUGAUCGGUUAUGAUCGUCUGAUGAGCACCAUACCUCGCAACCCAGUGCGUAUAAAAAGCUGUAGAAACAGUAUCAGCUGAAAUUUCAGUAAGAGGGAUUGCUUCCGGCCAUCUAGAAAAUCUGUCAAUCAUGGUUAAACAAUAACGAAAAUUUUGACAAAUAGGAAGAGGUCCAAUCAAAUCUAGAUGAAUAUGCUGAAAACGCUGAUCUGGAAUAGCAAUCUUUUGAGGAAGAUUCUUGUUUGCAGGUAGAACGACCACUUGGAUCAGAU
This is a long non-coding RNA of Formica exsecta, 689 nucleotides long. RefSeq lists it as uncharacterized. The record is from RefSeq and is a predicted model, not a curated record. The transcript has 4 exons. NCBI's taxonomy places the organism in Eukaryota, Metazoa, Arthropoda, Insecta, Hymenoptera, Formicidae.